This 496-nucleotide ribosomal RNA is filed under the name uncultured bacterium. RNAcentral's name for it is "partial 16S ribosomal RNA". It matches the Rfam family "Bacterial small subunit ribosomal RNA", at positions 28 to 506 of the family's 1533-position model. The record is from RNAcentral.
GAUGAACGCUGGCGGCGUGCCUAAUACAUGCAAGUCGAGCGAACGGACGAGAAGCUUGCUUCUCUGAUGUUAGCGGCGGACGGGUGAGUAACACGUGGAUAACCUACCUAUAAGACUGGGAUAACUUCGGGAAACCGGAGCUAAUACCGGAUGAUAUUUUGAACCGCAUGGUUCAAAAGUGAAAGACGGUCUUGCUGUCACUUAUAGAUGGAUCCGCGCUGCAUUAGCUAGUUGGUAAGGUAACGGCUUACCAAGGCAACGAUGCAUAGCCGACCUGAGGGGGGGAUCGGCCACACGGGAACUGAGACAGGGUCCAGACUCCAACGGGAGGCAGAAGUAGGGAAUCUUCCGAAAGGGGCGAAAGCCUGACGGAGAAACGCCGCGUGAGUGAUGAAGGUCUUCGGAUCGUAAAACCCUGUUAUUAGGGAAGAAAAUAUGUGUAAGUAACAGUGAACAUUUUGACGGUACCUAAUAAGAAAGCAACGGCAAACUACGG